UUCUGAUGUUCUGUCUACAUCAUAACUCUUCCUCAGGUUCCCAUUCCUUUAAACAGUUGGAAUAAGUCUGGUUCACCAAGGUGCACUGAGAAGUCCUGUUAAACAUAAUAUCACUUGCUGAGGGACACAGAUGAAGAAGUCCAAGCAAGUCCUGAUCAAGGAUUGAGAAAUCCUUUGUCUGGAGAACACAGAUGGACAAGUCCUGGGCAGGGGUUGCGAAAUCUUUUGUCUGAGGGACACAGAUGGACAAGGAUGGGAGAGAGAGACAGAGAGAGAGAGAGAGACGGAGUGAGAUAAGCCAGAUCUUAAUAGCCAGGAAGCAGUCUUUUUUAUGGGUUUAUCUCGAGGGAGAUAAUAGCCAUCUCAGGGCGUGCUGCACAUGACUGUUACCCAAGCACCUAGGAAUGCCAUAUUUGCAGAAGAAGGAUAAAAAAGGGACUAACAACCAUGGGUUUAGGAUUCUGGCAACAGAUUCCUCAUGCUGAAGAAGAGAGAGGGUUUCUGACAACAGAUUCCUCAUGAAGAAGAGGUUUCUGACAACAGGUUCCUCACGACCUGAGACCUGCAUGCUGAAGAAGAACAAGAAGGUUUCUGACAUGAGAGGCCUCACAACCUGCCUCUCCCUCCGGACUUGCUCUGCGCUCUACCUGCUUGCUGCCUAAGGCCAGCCACCCUACUGCUGCUCUCCUCCCCCCCAACCCCCCCGCCCCAAGAAGGUGUCUGCCAUCAGAUCCCUCACUGUGGAAGGCCUGCAUGCUGACAGACUCUCCAGGGCCUGCUACUGGAGGCCUGCUGCUUCCUCCUGGACUUCUUCCUGGACCUACUCAGUACCUGCACCUUCUUGCUGCCCAAGACUGGCCAUGCUGCUGCUUCUCUUCCCCUGUGCUUUUGCUCCUGACCGUCAGAACAUUGUGCAGCGGGACCGCUGCUGGAUCCUGG
Molecule: long non-coding RNA, 939 nt
Organism: Gallus gallus (chicken)
Lineage: Eukaryota; Metazoa; Chordata; Aves; Galliformes; Phasianidae
Source: Ensembl